ACCUGCGGAAGGAUCAUU
Molecule: non-coding RNA, 18 nt
Filed under: Symmetrospora oryzicola
Lineage: Eukaryota; Fungi; Basidiomycota; Cystobasidiomycetes; Symmetrosporaceae
Also listed under: 29 other names
Source: RNAcentral